CAAAUGACAAGCGAAAAAUAAAAAAUAUUGCGUCGUUCGCCCUCCCUAUCGGAAAAAAGUUGAAGCACACCUAUUGAAUAACCCUAAUCAAGAAAUUUAAAAGGGAUCUGCAUCUGACUCGCUCGUAAACGAAUUAAUUAAAAGGGAGACGUGUGGGUUUUACAUUGCCGGCAUCGCUAGCAACGUCCAACAUUUACCAACAUCCAGCAAAGCUACCAGGGCAGAUUCAAACACAUUGAUACACACACACUUACACGCAGCGGACGUAUUUGUUAAGUAUCGUAGUUAGAAAAAUGAGUAAAAGAACG
Molecule: long non-coding RNA, 308 nt
Organism: Anastrepha ludens (Mexican fruit fly)
Lineage: Eukaryota; Metazoa; Arthropoda; Insecta; Diptera; Tephritidae
Exons: 3
Source: RefSeq, a predicted model, not a curated record